GACGAACGCUGGCGGCGUGCUCAACACAUGCAAGUCGAACGGAAAGGCCCUGCUUUUGUGGGGUGCUCGAGUGGCGAACGCGUGAGUAACACGUGAGUAACCUGCCCUUGACUUUGGGAUAACUUCAUGAAACUGGGGCUAAUACCGGAUAGGAGCUCCUGCUGCAUGGUGGUGGUUGGAAAGUUUCGGCGGUUGGGGAUGGACUCGCGGCUUCUCAGCUUGUUGGUGGGGUAGUGGCUUACCAAGGCUUUGACGGGUAGCCGGCCUGAGAGGGUGACCGGCGACAUUGGGACUGAGAUACGGCCCAGACUCCUACGGGAGGCAGCAGUGGGGAAUAUUGCACAAUGGGCGGAAGCCUGAUGCAGCAACGCCGCGUGCGGGAUGACGGCCUUCGGGUUGUAAACCGCUUUCGCAUGUGACGAAGCGUGAGUGACGGUAAUGGGUAAAGAAGCACCGGCUAACUACGUG
RNAcentral lists this ribosomal RNA (468 nucleotides) under uncultured bacterium. RNAcentral's name for it is "partial 16S ribosomal RNA". It matches the Rfam family "Bacterial small subunit ribosomal RNA", at positions 28 to 507 of the family's 1533-position model. The record is from RNAcentral.